AUCUGUCAAGAAUUACUCUGUCAUCGGGCUGCUGGACAUCUACGGCUUUGAGGUCUUCCAGCACAACAGCUUUGAGCAGUUCUGCAUCAACUACUGUAACGAGAAGCUGCAGCAGCUCUUCAUCGAGCUCACCUCAAGUCGGAGCAGGAGGAGUACGAGGCUGAAGGCAUCACGUGGGAGCCGGUGCAGUACUUCAACAACAAGAUCAUCUGUGACCUGGUGGAGGAGAAGUUCAAAGGCAUCAUCUCCAUUCUGGACGAGGAGUGUCUGAGACCCGGAGACGCCAGUGACUUCACCUUCCUGGAGAAGCUGGAGGACACAGUGGGAGGACACGCCCACUUUGUCACUCACAAGCUGGCUGAUGGAAAAACCAGGAAGGUAAUGGGCCGUGAUGAAUUCAGACUGCUGCACUACGCUGGAGAGGUCAACUAUAAUGUCAACGGUGUGUGUGUGUGUGUGUGU
This is a non-coding RNA of Labrus bergylta (ballan wrasse), 462 nucleotides long. The record is from RefSeq and is a predicted model, not a curated record. NCBI's taxonomy places the organism in Eukaryota, Metazoa, Chordata, Actinopteri, Labriformes, Labridae.